GCGACAGGCUUAACACAUGCAAGUCGAGGGGCAGCACAGGUAGCAAUACCGGGUGGCGACCGGCGCACGGGUGAGUAACGCGUAUGCAACUUGCCUAUCAGAGGGGGAUAACCCGGCGAAAGUCGGACUAAUACCGCAUGAAGCAGGGGCCCCGCAUGGGGAUAUUUGCUAAAGAUUCAUCGCUGAUAGAUAGGCAUGCGUUCCAUUAGGCAGUUGGCGGGGUAACGGCCCACCAAACCGACGAUGGAUAGGGGUUCUGAGAGGAGGGUCCCCCACAUUGGUACUGAGACACGGACCAAACUCCUACGGGAGGCAGCAGUGAGGAAUAUUGGUCAAUGGGCGUAAGCCUGAACCAGCCAAGUCGCGUGAGGGAUGAAGGUUCUAUGGAUCGUAAACCUCUUUUAUAAGGGAAUAAAGUGCGGGACGUGUCCCGUUUUGUAUGUACCUUAUGAAUAAGGAUCGGCUAACUCCGUGCCAGCAGCCGCGGUAAUACGGAGGAUCCGAGCGUUAUCCGGAUUUAUUGGGUUUAAAGGGUGCGUAGGCGGCCUUUUAAGUCAGCGGUGAAAGUCUGUGGCUCAACCAUAGAAUUGCCGUUGAAACUGGGAGGCUUGAGUAUGUUUGAGGCAGGCGGAAUGCGUGGUGUAGCGGUGAAAUGCUUAGAUAUCACGCAGAACCCCGAUUGCGAAGGCAGCCUGCCAAGCCAUUACUGACGCUGAUGCACGAAGGCGUGGGGAUCAAACAGGAUUGGAUACCCUGGUAGUCCACGCAGUAAACGAUGAUCACUAGCUGUUUGCGAUACACUGUAAGCGGCACAGCGAAAGCGUUAAGUGAUCCACCUGGGGAGUACGCCGGCAACGGUGAAACUCAAAGGAAUUGACGGGGGCCCGCACAAGCGGAGGAACAUGUGGUUUAAUUCGAUGAUACGCGAGGAACCUUACCCGGGUUUGAACGCAUUUUGACAGCUCUGGAAACAGAGCCUCUAGCAAUAGCGAUUUGCGAGGUGCUGCAUGGUUGUCGUCAGCUCGUGCCGUGAGGUGUCGGCUUAAGUGCCAUAACGAGCGCAACCCUUGCCACUAGUUACUAACAGGUAAAGCUGAGGACUCUGGUGGGACUGCCAGCGUAAGCUGCGAGGAAGGCGGGGAUGACGUCAAAUCAGCACGGCCCUUACAUCCGGGGCGACACACGUGUUACAAUGGCGUGGACAAAGGGAGGCCACCUGGCGACAGGGAGCGAAUCCCCAAACCACGUCUCAGUUCGGAUCGGAGUCUGCAACCCGACUCCGUGAAGCUGGAUUCGCUAGUAAUCGCGCAUCAGCCAUGGCGCGGUGAAUACGUUCCCGGGCCUUGUACACACCGCCCGUCAAGCCAUGGGAGCCGGGGGUACCUGAAGUCCGUAACCGAAAGGAUCGGCCUAGGGUAAAACUGGUGACUGGGGCUAAGUCAUAACA
This 1447-nucleotide ribosomal RNA is filed under the name uncultured organism. RNAcentral's name for it is "16S ribosomal RNA". It matches the Rfam family "Bacterial small subunit ribosomal RNA". The record is from RNAcentral.